UGAGGAAUCUUCCGCAAUGGGCGAAAGCCUGACGGAGCAACACCGCGUGAAGGAUGAAGUGGUUCGCCAUGUAAACUUCUUUUCUGAGGGAAGAAUUCUGACGGUACCUUAGGAAUAAGCACCGGCUAACUCUGUGCCAGCAGCCGCGGUAAUACAGAGGGUGCGAGCGUUAUCCGGAAUUACUGGGCGUAAAGCGUGUGUAGGCGGAGUGAUAAGUCGAGGGUAAAAUCUUCAAGCCCAACUUGAAGCUUGUUCUCGAAACUAUCAUUCUUGGAAGUAUUCAGAGGUAAGCGGAAUUCUGUGUGUAGGGGUAAAAUCCGUAGAUACACGGAGGAACACCAAAAGCGAAAGCAGCUUACUAGGAAUAUCUUGACGCUGAGACACGAAAGCGUGGGGAGCAAACAGG
RNAcentral lists this ribosomal RNA (406 nucleotides) under uncultured bacterium. RNAcentral describes it as "partial 16S ribosomal RNA". It matches the Rfam family "Bacterial small subunit ribosomal RNA", at positions 355 to 776 of the family's 1533-position model. The record is from RNAcentral.